CAGCCGCCGCGGUAACACGUAGGUGGCAAGCGUUGUCCGGAAUUAUUGGGCGUAAAGGGCUCGCAGGCGGUUUCUUAAGUCUGAUGUGAAAGCCCCCGGCUCAACCGGGGAGGGUCAUUGGAAACUGGGAAACUUGAGUGCAGAAGAGGAGAGUGGAAUUCCACGUGUAGCGGUGAAAUGCGUAGAGAUGUGGAGGAACACCAGUGGCGAAGGCGACUCCCUGGUCUGUAACUGACGCUGAGGAGCGAAAGCGUGGGGAGCGAACAGGAUUAGAUACCCCUGUAGUCCCUGUCUCUUAUAC
RNAcentral lists this ribosomal RNA (301 nucleotides) under uncultured bacterium. RNAcentral's name for it is "partial 16S ribosomal RNA". It matches the Rfam family "Bacterial small subunit ribosomal RNA", at positions 509 to 807 of the family's 1533-position model. The record is from RNAcentral.